GACGAACGCUGGCGGCGUGGAUUAGGCAUGCAAGUCGAACGGUAUCAUCCUUUCGGGGGUGAGAGAGUGGCGAACUGGUGAGUAACACGUAGGUUAUCUACCCUCAAGACGGGGACAACCCAGGGAAACUUGGGCUAAUACCGGAUGUGAGCAACUUUUAGUUGUUUGAAAGGUGGCGUAAGCUGUCGCUUGGGGAUGAGCCUGCGUCCUAUUAGUUAGUUGGUGAGGUAACGGCUCACCUAGGCAAUGAUAGGUAGGCGGCCUUAACGGGUGGUCGCCCACACUGGGAUUGAGAUACGGCCCAGACUCCUACGGGAGGCAGCAGUCGAGAAUAGUCUACAAUGGUCGGAAGACUGAUAGUGCGACGCCGCGUGAACGAUGAAUCCCUUCGGGGUGUAAAGUUCUUUUAUAUGUGAGCAGUGCUUCUUAUAUUAACAGUAUGGGGAAGAGAUAUUAGCAUAUGAAUAAGCAACGGCUAACUCCGUGCCAGCAGCCGCGGUAAAAUCCG
This 508-nucleotide ribosomal RNA is filed under the name uncultured bacterium. Its description in RNAcentral is "bacterial SSU rRNA". It matches the Rfam family "Bacterial small subunit ribosomal RNA", at positions 28 to 527 of the family's 1533-position model. The record is from RNAcentral.